Molecule: ribosomal RNA, 465 nt
Filed under: uncultured bacterium
Lineage: Bacteria
Description: partial 16S ribosomal RNA
Rfam family: Bacterial small subunit ribosomal RNA
Source: RNAcentral
UCUACGGGUGGCAGCAGUGGGGAAUAUUGCGCAAUGGGCGAAAGCCUGACGCAGCGACGCCGCGUGAGGGAUGAAGGUCUUCGGAUCGUAAACCUCUGUCAGCAGGGAAGAACGGUCACUGUGCUAAUCAGCAGUGAAUUGACGGUACCUGCAAAGGAAGCACCGGCUAACUCCGUGCCAUCAGCCGCGGUAAUACGGAGGGUGCGCGCGUUAGUCGGAAUUACUGGGCGUAACGCGCUCGUAGUUGGUAUGUCAAGUAAAGGGUGAAAUCCCCGCGCUCAACGUGGGAACUGCCUUUGAAUCGGGCAAACUGGAGUGUGUGAGAGGAUAGUGGAAUUACAGGUGUAGGAGUGAAAUCCGUAGAUAUCUGGAGGAACAUCAGUGGCGAAGGCGACUAUCUGGCACAUAACUGACGCUGAGGAGCGAAAGCGUGGGUAGCAAACAGGAUUAGAUACCCGGGUAGGC